Molecule: ribosomal RNA, 503 nt
Filed under: uncultured bacterium
Lineage: Bacteria
Description: partial 16S ribosomal RNA
Rfam family: Bacterial small subunit ribosomal RNA
Source: RNAcentral
AUUGAACGCUGGCGGCAGGCUUAACACAUGCAAGUCGAGCGGGGUGAUGGUGCUUGCACUAUCACUUAGCGGCGGACGGGUGAGUAAUGCUUAGGAAUCUGCCUAUUAGUGGGGGACAACACCUCGAAAGGGAUGCUAAUACCGCAUACGUCCUACGGGAGAAAGCAGGGGAUCACUUGUGACCUUGCGCUAAUAGAUGAGCCUAAGUCGGAUUAGCUAGUUGGUGGGGUAAAGGCCUACCAAGGCGACGAUCUGUAGCAGGUCUGAGAGGAUGAUCCGCCACACUGGGACUGAGACACGGCCCAGACUCCUACGGGAGGCAGCAGUGGGGAAUAUUGGACAAUGGGGGGAACCCUGAUCCAGCCAUGCCGCGUGUGUGAAGAAGGCCUUAUGGUUGUAAAGCACUUUAAGCGAGGAGGAGGCCCUUUUGGUUAAUACCCAAGAUGAGUGGACGUUACUCGCAGAAUAAGCACCGGCUAACUCUGUGCCAGCCGCCGCCGUAA